Molecule: long non-coding RNA, 1317 nt
Filed under: Dromaius novaehollandiae (emu)
Lineage: Eukaryota; Metazoa; Chordata; Aves; Casuariiformes; Dromaiidae
Description: lncRNA (ENSDNVG00000017865.1)
Source: RNAcentral
AUGCAGACAGAUCACUUUGCCAGCUGUCAAGGCAAAUAUUGCUGUAUAGUCCUUGGUCUCAACAACAUCUUUAGUAUCCUGGUGAUGGGUGCCUUCAAAGGGCUGGGCAGAACAGACUUCAUACUGCACCUGCAUUUUACGUUUUCUGCUCUGCAUAAAGCUGCACUGUUCGGAAGAAGUGAGAUUAUCUUUCCUUACAGCUACGACGCUGCACUGCUCUCGACAUAGCCUGCUUUUCCCCCCAUUUACCUGGGCGGCUGCUGCUGUUUCUGCUGCUGCUGGGGCUGCUGCAGUCUCACUGCCUGCGCUUCACCCUGGCUUGUCUGACUCGAGACUCACUUGUCUGCACAUUGCUAAGGAAGAAGAGUGAUGGAGCCACGUUUAUUUUUUCUGUUGGUUCUGGAAGCAAAGGGUUAUGAUAUGUGGUGGUUUGGAGGGUUUUUUUUUGCGGGGGGGAGGAGGGAGGUUAAUCUAGGAUGGGAUGGGUGAAAGCUUAAAGAAAUAUUAUGUAAAAUAAUCCAGUGCUCAACAAGGGUAUCAGCAGCAAGUAUCCAGCCUCUGCUGCUCCAAAGGAUUAACAUGGGGAAAGCCACAGUGCUGCAGUCGAGUUUCACCUCAGCGUUGUGCUGGAGAUGGAUAAAUAAGGUAUCGGUUGUGUCUGCCUGUUAAGGCAAAGGCAUGGGAGGAAGAGAGAGCGAGCGAGUGCAAAUGAGGAGGAAGAAGAAAUGCUAUAUGCUGUUUGUCUGAUUCUGUGCGUUCUCAUUGUAGAGAGGAAGGCAUAAUUUACAGAACAAUGUAUGGACGGAGGGACUGCAUGUUGUAGCUUGAACACUCCUGAUGUUGUCAAGGAGGGGACUGAUAAGCUAGGUGACUGCACCGGUAUCCCCAGGGAAAAUAGCAGCCAUGCAGUGUGUAUAUGUGUGUGUGUUUGUGUAUGUGUGAGCAUGUAUAGAUGUGAAAAAAAGACAUUUCUGACCAAUUUACAGAGGAAUUUUGUCACUUUGCUGCAUCAGACUUGAUUGCAGCUUAUAUUUUCAACUAUAGCUCUACACCCAUUUCCUGACUAAGGCAGCACUUUGUGAAAACAGAUGUAGGCAGAAUUCUUUUAAGAAAUGUGAAAGCAGAUCCUUUCCGUUUAACACCUUGAAACGCUGAAUCUUCUGCACUGUGCCGAGAGAAACUGUAGGGGUUUCGUUUUCUCCAUCUUAAAAUCUUUUUAAACACAGCUGUAUUCAGGAUGGUGAAAAAUUCUAUACUGUAAAUAGAAAUGUGAUCAAUCUAAUCAAAAUAAAUGUAUCCCAGAUGACUUCUAGACCA